GAUUGAUUGACGGCGUCGGCGUAUAUUUAAAAGUGAAGAAAGAGGACCAGUGGAAGAGCGGAGGCUUCUCCCAAUCCCACACUUUUCUCUACUGCCACCCUUUUUCAUUUCUUUUGCCAUUUUUUGCAUAUUACUUCUUUUUUCUUUUUGCAUCUCCAAAUUUAUUACACUUUCUUAAUCAAUCUCAAUUUCUAUAUUAAUAAUCAAUUUCCUUCCAAAAAUUAUUAAAAAAAAUAACCUUGAUUUUUCUGCCCACAAAACCCAAUAACCCAAGAAAAAUAAUCACCCAUUUCAGAUUCUGGGUUUCCAAAAUCAUAAAUCUCUAUUUCAAUUUCAUUUUCCAAAUCAAAAUCUUACAAUUUCUGCAUUUUUUCCCACAAAUUAGCAACUGGGUAUCAAAAAUUUGUUGCUUUUUAGCCGUUGCUGGGUUGAUUGGAGGAAGAUGUGAUUGAUUAGUGAUGAUCAGAAGGCAAAACUUGCAAUCAAUGGCUUUUUCUGUAGGGAAAGGAUUACCUGGGUUGUUUAAAAACGACACAGUUUCAUCUUCCCCUAGAAAGAUCUUUACUUCUAACAAUUCUCAUGGCUCAAGAAUUAAUGUUGCUAACAAUUGGUUUAGUUUGAAGGGUUGUUGUGCUGAUUUUAGGGAUAAAGUUCCCAACUUGAAGAGCAACGAUGUAAAUGUUGCUGGGUUUUACAAAACAAGGGUUUUUACUGUUUCUCAGCAACCAUUUUCAGAUAUGGAACUUCAGAUGCAGCAAGAAAUAAAAAAUAGUGGGAUUUCAGAUGUUAAUGGUGGAGCUCGUCAAAGAGGAGGUUUUACUGGCUGCUCUGAUGGUAGUUCUUUGCCUGAUAAGCUUGUUGUUGCUGUUGAUGUUGAUGAAGUCCUUGGGAACUUUGUCUCCGCUCUAAACAGAUUCAUUGCUGACCAUUAUUCCUCAAAUCACUCGGUGUCCGAAUAUCACAUUUAUGAGUUCUAUAAGAUUUGGAAUUGUUCGCGUGAUGAAGCUGAUAUCCGCGUUCACGAAUUUUUCAAGACUUCUUAUUUCAAGAAUGGGAUUUUUCCUCUUCCGGGAGCUCAAAGGGCCCUGAACAAACUAUCAAGAUUUUGCACUUUAUCUGUUGUCACGUCUCGUCAAAAUGUCAUUAAAGAUCACACUAUUGAGUGGCUUGAGAAGCAUUAUCCAGGACUCUUUGAGGAAAUUCACUUUGGUAAUCACUUUGCUCUAGAUGGAGAAUCAAAACCCAAGUCGGAGAUUUGCAGGUUAAUGGGUGCGAAGGUGUUGAUUGAUGAUAAUCCAGUAGUUUAGAGUGUGCUGAAGUUGGAAUAAGAGUGCUACUCUUUGAUUAUCAAAAUUCUUAUCCUUGGUGCAAAACUGGAUCAAACAAUCAACAUCCGCUUGUGACUAAAGUUCAUAACUGGGAAGAAGUAGAAGAACAACUAGUAUCUUGGAUGUUAUCGUCGCAUCUGUAACAUAGAAGAGUUCAAUUUUUGAAGGAGUUUAGUUUCUUUCAUCUUAAAUGAGAUGGUUGGCGAACAGAAGUAUAUGGAAUAGCUAAUAGGUUUCUUAAGCAGCGAAUUCAAUACUUGAAGCAUAGCAUCAUUGUUGUUCCCUUUCUAUUGGAAGUAAUUGUCUCUUUUAAAAGUUCAAGGGGAUUAGGUGAUUACUUAGUCACUUUAAAAAAGUUGGUGUGCAAUGUAGAAUUUCAGAAAACACAGGUUAUGGUGUAAUUAGAGAUUAAUUUGAAAACUUAAACUUGAGACUUGAAUUGAA
RNA transcript from Beta vulgaris subsp. vulgaris (sugar beet), 1772 nucleotides. RefSeq lists it as hypothetical. The record is from RefSeq and is a predicted model, not a curated record. The transcript is spliced from 6 exons. Lineage: Eukaryota; Viridiplantae; Streptophyta; Magnoliopsida; Caryophyllales; Amaranthaceae.